Molecule: ribosomal RNA, 553 nt
Filed under: Noualhierana furtiva
Lineage: Eukaryota; Metazoa; Arthropoda; Insecta; Hemiptera; Reduviidae
Description: partial 16S ribosomal RNA
Rfam family: Bacterial large subunit ribosomal RNA
Source: RNAcentral
CGCCUGUUUAUCAAAAACAUGUCCUUUUGUUGUUUAAUUUAAGGUCUGGCCUGCCCUAUGAAUAAAUUUUAAAUGGCCGCGGUAUUUUAACUGUGCUAAGGUAGCAUAAUCAUUUGUCUUUUAAUUGAGGGCUGGAAUGAAUGGUUGGACGAGGCAUUAGCUUUCUUUGUAUUAAUAUUUAAUUUAAUUUUUUGGUCAAAAAGCCAAAAUUUUAUUGUUAGACGAGAAGACCCUAUAGAUCUUUAUAUUUAUAUUAAUUAGUUAUUUUAGGGAAUUUAAUUAUUUUAAUUAAUUUAUUUAUUUGAUUGGGGUGAUUAGAGAAUAUAUUAAACUUCUUUUUAUUUGAUUUUCAUUAAUUAUUGUUUUAUUGAUCCUAUUGUAUUGAUUAUAAGAUUAAGUUACCUUAGGGAUAACAGCGUAAUUUCUUCGGAGAGUUCAAAUCGAUGAAGGAGUUUGCGACCUCGAUGUUGGAUUAAAAUAAGUGGUUGGUGAGCAGCGCCGCCUAGGUCUGUUCGACCUUUGAAGUUUUACAUGAUCUGAGUUCAAACCGGAG